Molecule: ribosomal RNA, 404 nt
Filed under: uncultured bacterium
Lineage: Bacteria
Description: bacterial SSU rRNA
Rfam family: Bacterial small subunit ribosomal RNA
Source: RNAcentral
UGGGGAAUAUUGGACAAUGGGGGCAACCCUGAUCCAGCCAUGCCGCGUGAAUGAUGAAGGCCUUCGGGUUGUAAAGUUCUUUUGGUAGGGACGAUGAUGACGGUACCUACAGAAUAAGCUCCGGCUAACUUCGUGCCAGCAGCCGCGGUAAUACGAAGGGAGCUAGCGUUGUUCGGAAUUACUGGGCGUAAAGGGCGCGUAGGCGGUCUUACCAGUCAGAUGUGAAAGCCCUGGGCUCAACCCGGGAAUUGCGUUUGAUACUGUAAGGCUUGAAUUCGGGAGAGGUUGGUAGAAUUGCCAGUGUAGAGGUGAAAUUCGUAGAGAUUGGCAAGAAUACCCGUGGCGAAGGCGGCCAACUGGACCGACAUUGACGCUGAGGCGCGAAAGCGUGGGGAGCAAACAGG